AUCCCUGUGACGCAGUUGGUUAGCGUGUCGUUCUUAUACUGUAUGCUUGCAUAUAGCAUGAAAUCUUUCUCAGAGAUGCGAAAGUCGCGAGUUCAAACCUCGCCAGGGAUA
Transfer RNA from Exophiala mesophila, 111 nucleotides. It matches the Rfam family "tRNA". Rfam says of the family: Transfer RNA (tRNA) molecules are approximately 80 nucleotides in length. Lineage: Eukaryota; Fungi; Ascomycota; Eurotiomycetes; Chaetothyriales; Herpotrichiellaceae. The record is from Rfam.